CACGUAGGGCGCGAGCGUUGUCCGGAAUUAUUGGGCGUAAAGAGCUCGUAGGCGGCUUUGUCGCGUCUGCCGUGAAAAGUCCCGGGGGCUCAACUCCGGAUCUGCGGUGGGUACGGGGCAGACUAGAGUGAUGUAGGGGGAGACUGGAAUUCCUGGUGUAGCGGUGAAAUGCGCAGAUAUCAGGAGGAACACCGAUGGCGAAGGCAGGUCUCUGGGCCGAUACUGACGCUGAGGAGCGAAAGCAUGGGUAGCGAACAGG
Molecule: ribosomal RNA, 259 nt
Filed under: uncultured bacterium
Lineage: Bacteria
Description: partial 16S ribosomal RNA
Rfam family: Bacterial small subunit ribosomal RNA
Source: RNAcentral